Molecule: ribosomal RNA, 253 nt
Filed under: uncultured bacterium
Lineage: Bacteria
Description: partial 16S ribosomal RNA
Rfam family: Bacterial small subunit ribosomal RNA
Source: RNAcentral
UACGUAGGGUGCAGGCGUUAAUCGGAAUUACUGGGCGUAAAGCGUGCGCAGGCGGUUUGCUAAGACAGGUGUGAAAUCCCCGGGCUUAACCUGGGAACUGCGCUUGUUACUGGCAGGCUUGAGUGUGGCAGAGGGGGGUGGAAUUCCGCGUGUAGCAGUGAAAUGCGUAGAUAUGCGGAGGAACACCGAUGGCGAAGGCAAUCCCCUGGGCCUGCACUGACGCUCAUGCACGAAAGCGUGGGGAGCAAACAGG